GUGCGCAGAAGGGUCUGGGCUCGAGCCUGCCUGGAGCCGCCGCCGGUGCAGAUCUUGGUGGUAGUAGCAAAUACUCCAGCGAGGCCCUGGAGGACUGAUGUGGAGAAGGGUUUCGUGUGAACAGCCGUUGCACACGAGUCAGUCGAUCCUAAGCCCUAGGAGAAAUCCGACGCCUACGGCGACGGGAAAAAUUUUUGAAAAAUCAACCCGUUGAUCGGGCGAAAGGGAAUCCGGUUCCUAUUCCGGAACCCGGCAGCGGAACCGCUGUUUGUCGGGCCCUCACAAGGGGUUCGUCAGGGUAACCUAAAAGGGCCCGGAGACGCCGUCGGGAGCCCCGGAAAGAGUUUUCUUUUCUGCAUGAGCGUUCGAGUUCCCUGGAAUCCUCUCGCAGGGAGAUAGGGUUUGGAACGCGAAGAGCACCGCAGUUGCGGCGGUGCCCGGGAAUUCCCGACGGACCUUGAAAAUCCGGGAGAGGGCCACGUGGAGGUGUCGCGCCGGCUCGUACCCAUAUCCGCAGCAGGUCUCCAAGGUGAAGAGCCUCUAGUCGAUAGAAUAAUGUAGGUAAGGGAAGUCGGCAAAUCGGAUCCGUAACUUCGGG
Molecule: ribosomal RNA, 598 nt
Filed under: Ischnura cruzi
Lineage: Eukaryota; Metazoa; Arthropoda; Insecta; Odonata; Coenagrionidae
Description: partial large subunit ribosomal RNA
Rfam family: Eukaryotic large subunit ribosomal RNA
Source: RNAcentral